RNAcentral lists this ribosomal RNA (1226 nucleotides) under Escherichia coli. RNAcentral's name for it is "partial 23S ribosomal RNA". It matches the Rfam family "Bacterial large subunit ribosomal RNA", at positions 1 to 1268 of the family's 2925-position model. Lineage: Bacteria; Pseudomonadati; Pseudomonadota; Gammaproteobacteria; Enterobacterales; Enterobacteriaceae. The record is from RNAcentral.
GUUAAGCGACUAAGCGUACACGGUGGAUGCCCUGGCAGUCAGAGGCGAUGAAGGACGUGCUAAUCUGCGAUAAGCGUCGGUAAGGUGAUAUGAACCGUUAUAACCGGCGAUUUCCGAAUGGGGAAACCCAGUGUGAUUCGUCACACUAUCAUUAACUGAAUCCAUAGGUUAAUGAGGCGAACCGGGGGAACUGAAACAUCUAAGUACCCCGAGGAAAAGAAAUCAACCGAGAUUCCCCCAGUAGCGGCGAGCGAACGGGGAGGAGCCCAGAGCCUGAAUCAGUGUGUGUGUUAGUGGAAGCGUCUGGAAAGGCGCGCGAUACAGGGUGACAGCCCCGUACACAAAAAUGCACAUGCUGUGAGCUCGAUGAGUAGGGCGGGACACGUGGUAUCCUGUCUGAAUAUGGGGGGACCAUCCUCCAAGGCUAAAUACUCCUGACUGACCGAUAGUGAACCAGUACCGUGAGGGAAAGGCGAAAAGAACCCCGGCGAGGGGAGUGAAAAAGAACCUGAAACCGUGUACGUACAAGCAGUGGGAGCCUCUUUAUGGGGUGACUGCGUACCUUUUGUAUAAUGGGUCAGCGACUUAUAUUCUGUAGCAAGGUUAACCGAAUAGGGGAGCCGAAGGGAAACCGAGUCUUAACUGGGCGUUAAGUUGCAGGGUAUAGACCCGAAACCCGGUGAUCUAGCCAUGGGCAGGUUGAAGGUUGGGUAACACUAACUGGAGGACCGAACCGACUAAUGUUGAAAAAUUAGCGGAUGACUUGUGGCUGGGGGUGAAAGGCCAAUCAAACCGGGAGAUAGCUGGUUCUCCCCGAAAGCUAUUUAGGUAGCGCCUCGUGAAUUCAUCUCCGGGGGUAGAGCACUGUUUCGGCAAGGGGGUCAUCCCGACUUACCAACCCGAUGCAAACUGCGAAUACCGGAGAAUGUUAUCACGGGAGACACACGGCGGGUGCUAACGUCCGUCGUGAAGAGGGAAACAACCCAGACCGCCAGCUAAGGUCCCAAAGUCAUGGUUAAGUGGGAAACGAUGUGGGAAGGCCCAGACAGCCAGGAUGUUGGCUUAGAAGCAGCCAUCAUUUAAAGAAAGCGUAAUAGCUCACUGGUCGAGUCGGCCUGCGCGGAAGAUGUAACGGGGCUAAACCAUGCACCGAAGCUGCGGCAGCGACGCUUAUGCGUUGUUGGGUAGGGGAGCGUUCUGUAAGCCUGUGAAGGUGUGCUGUGAGG